This is a non-coding RNA of Centropristis striata (black sea bass), 474 nucleotides long. Lineage: Eukaryota; Metazoa; Chordata; Actinopteri; Perciformes; Serranidae. The record is from the annotation of a RefSeq genome assembly.
AUGAUGGACUAUAGGACAGGACUGCUGCUUCUAACUGUCUGCUGGGCAGGUGUUGAUGGUCAGACUCUGACAGAAUCUGAACCAGCAGUUAAAAGUCCUGGAGGAUCUCACAGAUUGACCUGUACAGUCUCUGGAUUUGAUGUUAGUGGCUACUGGAUGGGCUGGAUCAGACAGGCUCCUGGUAAAGGACUGGAGUGGCUCGCUUUGAAUCAUGGUACCACCAACUACUACUCUCAGUCAGUUCAAGGCCGGUUUACCAUCUCCAGAGACAACAGCAGACAGCAGCUGUAUCUGCAGAUGAACAGUCUGAAGACUGAAGAUUCUGCUGUUUAUUAUUGUGCUCGAGAGCCACAGUGACUGGAGUUGGUUGAGCAGCUGUACAAAAACCUACAGUCCUCAUUCUUACUGGGCUGAUAGAGGAUGAAGUGUUUUUCAUUAAUUGCUGUGGAUGUACAUUUUGUAUUAAUGUUUGUU